This 478-nucleotide ribosomal RNA is filed under the name uncultured bacterium. Its description in RNAcentral is "partial 16S ribosomal RNA". It matches the Rfam family "Bacterial small subunit ribosomal RNA", at positions 28 to 523 of the family's 1533-position model. The record is from RNAcentral.
GACGAACGCUGGCGGCGUGCUUAACACAUGCAAGUCGAACGGUAAAGCCCUUCGGGGUACACGAGUGGCGAACGGGUGAGUAACACGUGGGUGAUCUGCCCUGCACUUCGGGAUAAGCCUGGGAAACUGGGUCUAAUACCGGAUAGGACUCCUGGCUUCAUGGUUGGGGGUGGAAAGCUUUUGCGGUGUGGGAUGGGCCCGCGGCCUAUCAGCUUGUUGGUGGGGUAAUGGCCUACCAAGGCGACGACGGGUAGCCGGCCUGAGAGGGUGACCGGUCACACUGGGACUGAGAUACGGCCCAGACUCCUACGGGAGGCAGCAGUGGGGAAUAUUGCACAAUGGGCGCAAGCCUGAUGCAGCGACGCCGCGUGAGGGAUGACGGCCUUCGGGUUGUAAACCUCUUUCAGCUAUGACGAAGCGCAAGUGAUGGUAGUAGCAGAAGAAGGACCGGCCAACUACGUGCCAGCAGCCGCGGUAA